This 324-nucleotide ribosomal RNA is filed under the name uncultured prokaryote. RNAcentral describes it as "bacterial SSU rRNA". It matches the Rfam family "Bacterial small subunit ribosomal RNA", at positions 26 to 352 of the family's 1533-position model. The record is from RNAcentral.
AGAUUGAACGCUGGCGGCAUGCUUUACACAUGCAAGUCGAACGGCAGCACGGGGGCAACCCUGGUGGCGAGUGGCGAACGGGUGAGUAAUGCAUCGGAACGUAUCCUUGAGUGGGGGAUAACGUAGGGAAACUUACGCUAAUACCGCAUACGACCGAGAGGUGAAAGCGGGGGACCGAAAGGCCUCGCGCUGAAGGAGCGGCCGAUGUCCGAUUAGCUAGUUGGUGAGGUAAAGGCUUACCAAGGCGACGAUCGGUAGCUGGUCUGAGAGGAUGAUCAGCCACACUGGGACUGAGACACGGCCCAGACUCCUACGGGAGGCAGC